UCCACGUAGGCACAAAAAAUCGUCCAAUCAGAAAGUCCGAAGUUGCCACGUCAUCACAUUUAUUUUUUGUAAAAAUGAAAAAACAAUGCAAAGGUAAGGAUCAAACCCGGGUUAGUAUGACAUAAAUAUAUGGCAGAUACCACUAAGCCAUUGAAACUUUCUUGGACACAUAUACAAGAAUCACUAAAUAUGUAAUCACACUCUUAUGUACAUUUACAAUAAUAUGGAUUCAACUUUCAAGACUCCGAUGCUUUCUUUUAUAAAAAAAAAAAGUAAGUGACUAAGCUAAUAUAUUCUUUGAAAGUGUGAGAACAUUGACAAAUAUGAAAAAUCAUAGAUUUUUAUUUUCGUGACAAAGUUAACAAUUUUGUAAAAGUAAGUAUAACAGAUAAAUUUUCGUGACAAAUAUGAAAAAGCAUAGAUUUUUGUACAAUUUUGACAAAACAACUUAAAACAUAGUUCUUUAAUGUCUUAAUAAAAUAUUAUUUAAGGGUGCAAUAAUUAAAUAUAUCAAUUCAAUAAAUUUUGUAAUUUAUAGACAAAACAAUAACACAACAAAUUUUGAAACAUUUGUUUAACCUAUCGAUUUCUUUUCAUGAGAAUUCAACUAAACAAGAUAAAAAACAAUUAGAUUUAUUUAAUUACAAUUUUAUUCAAUUUUGAUUAAUUUCAAAUUGUAAUAAUGUAUCUUUUUGAAGUUACAAAAAAAUAAAGUUUUUUCUUUAUUACACUAGCAUUAUAUAUAGAUUCCAUAUACACAAAUAAAUAUAAUAUAACAACAUAAGCUUGCUUUCCCCGAUUCAUAUGAAUACUUUUUAAGUUAUCCACCAAAGCACAUUAAUUAAAUCAAUCAAAUUGUUAGAAUACAACAAAUUUAUAUAUAAUUUUAUUUUAAAUUAAAUUAUUUAAAAAGUGUAUUUUCAUUAAACAAAAAUAAUAAAUAAGUAAAACUGAUUUGAUGAUAAUUUUUAUGACAUAUAUAUAUAUAUAUAUAUUAUGUGAAAGAAAUAUAAGCUUAAUAUGGAAAAAAAUCUUAAAUACAAAAAAACUCUGAAAUUAACAAAAAAACUAAUAAAAAUUAAACUACGAUAUCAAUUGAAAGCUUCUUAGACAAUAUUAAUAAAAUAUUUAAGCGAUAAAAGGGGGAUAUAAGCUCCCCUUAGAGUGUCCACGUAGGCACAAAAAAUCGUCCAAUCAGAAAUUCCGAAGUUGCCACGUCAUCACAUUUAUUUUUUGUAAAAAUGAAAAAACAAUGCAAAGGUAAGGAUCAAACCCGGGUUAGUAUGACAUAAAUAUAUGGCAGAUACCACUAAGCCAUUGAAACUUUCUUGGACACAUAUACAAGAAUCACUAAAUAUGUAAUCACACUCUUAUGUACAUUUACAAUAAUAUGGAUUCAAC
RNAcentral lists this long non-coding RNA (1401 nucleotides) under Brassica rapa (field mustard). RNAcentral describes it as "long non-coding RNA (BRAP_LNC003610)". Lineage: Eukaryota; Viridiplantae; Streptophyta; Magnoliopsida; Brassicales; Brassicaceae. The record is from RNAcentral.